CAGCCGCCGCGGGAAUACGUAGGUGGCAAGCGUUGUCCGGAUUUAUUGGGCGUAAAGCGAGCGCAGGCGGUUCCUUAAGUCUGAUGUGAAAGCCCCCGGCUCAACCGGGGAGGGUCAUUGGAAACUGGGAUCUUGAGUGCAGAAGAGGAGAGUGGAAUUCCAUGUGUAGCGGUGAAAUGCGUAGAUAUAUGGAGGAACACCAGUGGCGAAGGCGACUCUCUGGUCUGUAACUGACGCUGAGGCUCGAAAGCGUGGGUAGCAAACAGGAUUAGAUACCCCCGUAGUCCCUGUCUCUUAUACA
This 301-nucleotide ribosomal RNA is filed under the name uncultured bacterium. Its description in RNAcentral is "partial 16S ribosomal RNA". It matches the Rfam family "Bacterial small subunit ribosomal RNA", at positions 509 to 808 of the family's 1533-position model. The record is from RNAcentral.